This 95-nucleotide transfer RNA is filed under the name Streptomyces bluensis. RNAcentral describes it as "tRNA-Thr". The record is from RNAcentral. Lineage: Bacteria; Bacillati; Actinomycetota; Actinomycetes; Kitasatosporales; Streptomycetaceae.
UGCGCCGUGUGGCGUGUGGCGGUGCCGUGCGGCUUGUGCCCGUGCCGUGUUGGCAAGCGCUUUCACUUGCGGUGUUCGAGGUCCGGACCGCGAGG